This 450-nucleotide ribosomal RNA is filed under the name uncultured bacterium. RNAcentral describes it as "bacterial SSU rRNA". It matches the Rfam family "Bacterial small subunit ribosomal RNA", at positions 355 to 796 of the family's 1533-position model. The record is from RNAcentral.
UGGGGAAUCUUGCGCAAUGGGCGAAAGCCUGACGCAGCAACGCCGCGUGUGUGAUGAAGGUCUUCGGAUCGUAAAGCACUGUCGGGAGGGACGAACAAGUGCAUAGCUAACAUCUAUGCGCCUUGACGGUACCUCCAAAGGAAGCACCGGCUAACUCUGUGCCAGCAGCCGCGGUAAUACAGAGGGUGCAAGCGUUGUUCGGAAUUAUUGGGCGUAAAGCGCGUGUAGGCGGCCUAGCAAGUUGGGUGUGAAAGCCCUCGGCUUAACCGAGGAAGUGCGCCCAAAACUACUAGGCUUGAGUACCGGAGAGGAUGGCGGAAUUCCCGGUGUAGAGGUGAAAUUCGUAGAUAUCGGGAGGAACACCAGUGGCGAAGGCGGCCAUCUGGACGGAUACUGACGCUGAGACGCGAAAGCGUGGGGAGCAAACAGGAUUAGAUACCCCGGUAGUCC